Molecule: transfer-messenger RNA, 353 nt
Filed under: Dethiobacter sp.
Lineage: Bacteria; Bacillati; Bacillota; Dethiobacteria; Dethiobacterales; Dethiobacteraceae
Also listed under: 1 other name
Rfam family: transfer-messenger RNA
About the family: Bacterial tmRNA, also known as 10Sa RNA or SsrA, is named for its dual tRNA and mRNA-like properties. Its role is to liberate the mRNA from a stalled ribosome. To accomplish this part of the tmRNA is used as a reading frame that ends in a translation stop signal.
Source: RNAcentral
GGGGGCGUUUUGGAUUCGACGGGGGUUUGAUGGGUGAGAGUAGCGAGUCCGGGCCCAUGACCCGGUCAACAACGUGGAAAAGGCUUAAACGCCAACGAUAAUUACGCUCUCGCUGCUUAAAUAGCAGCGUGUCCGCUAGUUCCGAGCCUGUAGGCACUAGGCCGGGCAUCGACUAAUCAGGCUACCGGUUUUACGGUUGGCAGAGCCAAAAAAACUGGGAAUCACAACUGUGCUAGUGUAGUGGGAUCCGGCCUCAAGGAGCCCGUUACGCAAAUCCAAACUUGAGGAUACACUCGUAGAAGCUCUUGCUGGUUGGCCUUCGGACAGGGGUUCGACUCCCCUCGCCUCCACCA